UGUACACGCUGUGACUAGCAUAUCAAUAAGCGGAGGAAAAGAAACUAACAAGGAUUCCCCUAGUAACGGCGAGUGAAGCGGGAAGAGCUCAAAUUUGAAAUCUUAAAGGGUUUCCCUUUACGAAUUGUAGUUUAAAGAAGUGUUUUCUGUUGAGGUUUUGGUAAAAGUUCUUUGGAAUAGGACAUCAUAGAGGGUGAGAAUCCCGUAUUUGACCUUUACUUUCAACUUUGUGAUACACUUUCAAAGAGUCGGAUUGUUUGGGAAUGCAGUCCAAAAUGGGUGGUAAAUUUCAUCUAAAGCUAAAUAUUGGCGAGAGACCGAUAGCGAACAAGUACCGUGAGGGAAAGAUGAAAAGAACUUUGAAAAGAGAGUUAAACAGUACGUGAAAUUGUCAAAAGGGAAGCGUUUGACACCAGUGUUGUUUUUCUGAAAAUCAAUUAAAGAACUGUUUAUGCUAAGUUGUUUAGACUUUAUCAGCUAACUGUUUAGUUUUGAGCUUUUCUUUAAUGCACUUUUCAGUUAACAAGUCAACAUCAAUUUCUUUUGCUGUAAAAAAGCUUGAGGAAGGUGGCUUGAGAUUCGUCUUAAGUGUUUAUAGCCUCUUGCCUAUGCAGUCGGAGAGAUUGAGGUCUGCAGCGUAGAUCCUUCGGGGCUAAAUGCAUUUGUGCUAAGUUAUAGCAUUUUAUAGACAACUUGUUGACUAUGAUUUGUCUUGUAGCUUACUCGCUUAUGUUAUUUUACCUACGCUUAGGAUGUUGACUGAUAUGUAGUCGUA
RNAcentral lists this ribosomal RNA (775 nucleotides) under uncultured Neocallimastigales. RNAcentral's name for it is "partial large subunit ribosomal RNA". It matches the Rfam family "Eukaryotic large subunit ribosomal RNA", at positions 22 to 644 of the family's 3401-position model. The record is from RNAcentral. Lineage: Eukaryota; Fungi; Neocallimastigomycota; Neocallimastigomycetes; Neocallimastigales.